CUUUUUUUUUUAAACAAUUGGUUAAAAGUUUUCAUGUCAAAAUCGUAGCAUUCACAAUGGUAAAAUAGAGAAAAAGGACACUGUAUUACCAGGGAUGUCAUAUGUAUUCCAUUUUUUUUUCUAGUAAAAUUUGUACAGACCCACAAGGUUACACAGAGACUGGAGGCCAAAGUGAGAGAAAUCCAUUUGUAUGACACUUCAUUUUAUAGCCUGAAGCCCAGAAGCUGGCUGGGUGUUGAGGUACAUUUAAAUAGCAGUAAACAUUGCUGGCGACUGGAUGGAUUCAUCAACUGUUUUUUAAAUUUGAACUAUUCUUUCAUCUGUUACAGGUGUUCUGUGGGGCUGUGAUUUCAACACUGGUACAUGCACUGAUUUAGUCAGUUUUUAAAGGAAGACAGAGCACAUGGGGGCUUACAGAAAAGAGUGGAAUUAUGCAAAGUGAUCUCUUAUUGCUUUCUUUCAACGCACCAAAGCAUUGGGUUCUUGUGAUCACAUUAAUGGAAACAAAAGAAUUAUUAAUAAUUGACCCUUUGUGUGAUGAGAUGAGAUAUGAAAGAACCUUCCUGAGGAAUUGGAGUUUGCAGAAACAUAUUUACAGCAUAAAGACAUCAGUGCUGUAGAAACCACACAAGAGGCUCUAACUACAUUUAGAAGAAAAAUAGCAAUUCUUUUGAUGAAAGAGGCAGGUAAGAGCUUUGUUACAUAUUACCUAGUCAGCCCAUAGUAUAUGGGAAGAUAAUAGGAAAAGUGGAAUAACAUCAUAUCACAAACCAUUACCUUAAUACAUCUACAGUGGGGUAUGUCACAAGUUUGGGUCUCGAAUGGUGACUCUGUAUGAAUAAUUUCUUCAAGUCAUGAAAAAUGUGGAUGGGCUGAGUGGUUACUAUGGAUUGAGCAGUGAAAUGUAAUUGGAUAUGGUUCUACCCACCUGCAUUAAACUAAAAGUUUGAAACCCGUAGACUGGGGUACAAAAUAUCAUCUAAAAUAGGACACCCCCCGAUCCCAAAAAAGAAAAAAAUGUUUGCAAACCUGUUUAAUUACUUGACAUAAUUGACAUUAAUCAAGAUUUGCGUUUAGAGUUUUGGUCACAAUGUAAUCACCAUUUGAGUACAGUGCAUUGAUUUUUCAGAGAGCGUGGAGGAGUACUGCAUGUACUGCAACUUGGUCACUUGCAAAAAAGAAAGUGAAGAUUGCAUAAUGGUCCAGUGUGACUCUUGUGAGAGGUGGGCACAUGUGCCCUGCCUGCCAGAGGAAAUCAAUGAAGAAAACGGAUGAGGAGAAAAAGUAUAGCUGCACAAAAUGUGCAUCGUUCAGUUGUUUAUAAAAAAUGUACAUUGUGUCAUUGUUUUGUAAAGAUAAAUAUUUUGGUUUUCUUGGAAUAACACAGCUGGAAUAUAAACCAGUAAUAGAGAAGUUUAAUUUUAACAUACAUCUCAGUUAAGAACAAAAAAUGUGUUGUUAACUCUGUAUCUGUAAAUAUGUUUAGAUGCUUGUUUUUGAAAAACUCUUGAAAUGAAAAGUAAGCUGUUCUUGUUUCUAUACCUUGCUACAAUAAUAAAGUUCGUUUACAUUUUGAAAAAUA
Dermochelys coriacea (leatherback sea turtle) is the source of this 1582-nucleotide long non-coding RNA. RefSeq lists it as uncharacterized. The record is from RefSeq and is a predicted model, not a curated record. NCBI's taxonomy places the organism in Eukaryota, Metazoa, Chordata, Testudines, Dermochelyidae. The transcript is spliced from 6 exons.